Molecule: ribosomal RNA, 497 nt
Filed under: uncultured bacterium
Lineage: Bacteria
Description: partial 16S ribosomal RNA
Rfam family: Bacterial small subunit ribosomal RNA
Source: RNAcentral
GACGAACGCUGGCGGCGUGCCUAAUACAUGCAAGUUGAGCGCUGAAGGUUGGUACUUGUACCAACUGGAUGAGCAGCGAACGGGUGAGUAACGCGUGGGGAAUCUGCCUUUGAGCGGGGGACAACAUUUGGAAACGAAUGCUAAUACCGCAUAAAAACUUUAAACACAAGUUUUAAGUUUGAAAGAUGCAAUUGCAUCACUCAAAGAUGAUCCCGCGUUGUAUUAGCUAGUUGGUGAGGUAAAGGCUCACCAAGGCGAUGAUACAUAGCCGACCUGAGAGGGUGAUCGGCCACCUUGGGACGGAGACACGGCCCAAACUCCUACGGGAGGCAGCAGUAGGGAAUCGUCGGCAAUGGACGAAAGUCUGACCGAGCAACGCCGAGUGAGUGAAGAAGGUUGUCGGAUCGUAAAACUCGGUUGGUAGAGAAGAACGUUGGUGAGAGUGGAAAGCUCAUCAAGUGACGGUAACUACCCAGAAAGGGACGGCUAACUACGUG